UCAAGAUGAUUUGUUGUCCGACGGAUGGGUCGUGUAUUGUUUCCUAACCGUAAGUCUAUCAGUGUAAAUGAAUUGCUUUUAUCUUCUUAUAUGUUUUUCUUACCAUUUUUAGGAACCGAGAAAGUGAAAACAAGAAGGGACCAUAGGAGCCUUCAAUGUCUGAUAUUUCUAUGAUGAUUGUCGGACGAACUAAGUGGAUGGUCAGGUACAUGGCCAGUAACAUUGAUGAGGGUUUAUAUUUGGAUUGCUAUCAACAAAAAACAAUGCUUCUCAGGCUUCUGAAGUUACAUAAUCCUAUGAAGGAUUCUCUCUAUACUUAUGAUGAUGAGUGGUUCCAAGACGCCCGAGAGUUCUUCAUCAUCUUCUAAUAAUGUUUUCAAGAAUGUUGGUCGUAGUGGAUGAGUGGAUUAUGUACUUGUUUAAGUAUUUUCAACUUUUAUAAUGCAAGACUUUGUUUUAGUAUGUUUGGUUUGGUUAUGGAUUUGGGUGGAUUUCCUUUGUUUUAAUUAAUGGGAUAUUAAUUUACCUUUAAUGAAUGAAUUUUAGUAUUUUAAUUAA
Molecule: long non-coding RNA, 558 nt
Organism: Papaver somniferum (opium poppy)
Lineage: Eukaryota; Viridiplantae; Streptophyta; Magnoliopsida; Ranunculales; Papaveraceae
Exons: 2
Source: RefSeq, a predicted model, not a curated record